AUUGAACGCUGGCGGUAGGCCUAACACAUGCAAGUCGAACGCGAAAGUCCUUCGGAUGAGUAGAGUGGCGGACGGGUGAGUAACGCGUAGGAAUCUGUCCUGUAGUGGGGGAGUAACGUUUCGAAAGGAACGCUAAUACCGCAUACGCCCUACGGGGAAAGGACGGGGAGUCUUCGGACCUCGUGCUAUAGGAGGAGCCUGCGUCGGAUUAGCUAGUUGGUGAGGUAAAGGACUCACCAAGGCGACGAUCCGUAGCUGGUCUGAGAGGAUGAUCAGCCACACCGGAACUGAGACACGGUCCGGACUCCUACGGGAGGCAGCAGUGGGGAAUAUUGCGCAAUGGGCGAAAGCCUGACGCAGCCAUUACCGCGUGUGUGAAGAAGGCCU
This 387-nucleotide ribosomal RNA is filed under the name uncultured bacterium. Its description in RNAcentral is "bacterial SSU rRNA". It matches the Rfam family "Bacterial small subunit ribosomal RNA", at positions 30 to 417 of the family's 1533-position model. The record is from RNAcentral.